This 484-nucleotide ribosomal RNA is filed under the name uncultured bacterium. Its description in RNAcentral is "partial 16S ribosomal RNA". It matches the Rfam family "Bacterial small subunit ribosomal RNA", at positions 30 to 507 of the family's 1533-position model. The record is from RNAcentral.
AUUGAACGCUGGCGGCAGGCCUAACACAUGCAAGUCGAGCGGAUGAAGGGAGCUUGCUCCUGGAUUCAGCGGCGGACGGGUGAGGAAUGCCUAGGAAUCUGCCUGGUAGUGGGGGAUAACGUCCGGAAACGGGCGCUAAUACCGCAUACGUCCUGAGGGAGAAAGUGUGGGAUCUUCGGACCUCACGCUAUCAGAUGAGCCUAGGUCGGAUUAGCUAGUUGGUGGGGUAAAGGCCUACCAAGGCGACGAUCCGUAACUGGUCUGAGAGGAUGAUCAGUCACACUGGAACUGAGACACGGCCCAGACUCCUACGGGAGGCAGCAGUGGGGAAUAUUGGACAAUGGGCGAAAGCCUGAUCCAGCCAUGCCGCGUGUGUGAAGAAGGUCUUCGGAUUGUAAAGCACUUUAAGUUGGGGGGAAGGGCAGUAAGUUAAUACCUUGCUGUUUUGACGUUACCAACAGAAUAAGCACCGGCUAACUUCGUG